This 1187-nucleotide long non-coding RNA is filed under the name Macaca mulatta (Rhesus monkey). RNAcentral's name for it is "lncRNA (ENSMMUG00000063459.1)". Lineage: Eukaryota; Metazoa; Chordata; Mammalia; Primates; Cercopithecidae. The record is from RNAcentral.
UCCUUAUGGGAACAUUUACUUUGGAGUUUAUAUUUUGACAUUUUUUAACUUAAAAUUCAUGAAGUGUAUUUCUGUCUCCUUUCUAUAUUUAGUUAAUUGUGGGAUUUUGCAAGCUUUUUAGCAUUUUGAUAAUAUUAAAAAAGGGAGUUUUAAAAUGAUAAAAAAUGUUGUCUAAAUAUGUAUUCCAUAAUAAUUUGAUUAUCAAAGUAAUAGAAGGUGCUUUUCAGUAAUUUAUUCUAUAAAUGUAAAAAUGUCACUAAAUUGGAAGCAUAAUGUAUGUUUUUGUGCUACUUAUAUGCCAAUAUCUUUUAAGCGAUCACUUGACUUCAGUCUCCUGUUUUAUAUUGGUUUUCCAUAGAUGUGAGCACAGACCUAAAGUUUCCUGCCUCCAUCUGUUCUGCUUGCAGCUGUUUUGGCAACAGAAGAAAAAAUCCCCAUAACAAAUCAAAUAAAAGCCCUUUAUGUGAAGAGGAAUUGAAAACAGCAGGCCUCAAAGAGGACUGCACAUGAGAUGCCUUGUUCUGGCUUUCAACACAACUCAAAUCAGAAACACAUUACCAUAAUCUGAAACAGCCCACUGCUAACACAAGACAGAUGGUGGGUAAUAACCCAUGCAUCAUUAAUAAAUAAAUUCCAGCAUUAAAGGCUUUACAAAGUAUGACAACAUUAUCUGGGCACAAUGACUGCCCCUCUCCCACCCCCAACAUCAUUUCAGCGUGUUAUGGGAUAUGCUAGGUUUAUUUUUAUUUUUUUCCCCUCCAACUCCGUGGAUCUGAAGGAAGUUUAAAUACGACACAAGUUUUAACCAGAUGAAACCUAUCUCAGUGUACAAGACAGGUCUGAAACUCCAUAAGGGAAAAAUAAAAUAGCUGCCAAAGUUUAAUAGCUCACAUGUUCUGGUGUUGGAUCAGCCCACAGCAAUUUAUUGCGCUGCCCUCCAUGCGCUGGCCUCACCCUUUCUGGUACGCCUCUGUGCCUGUAUUGCAGUACACACUCCAAGCAAGAAUCUUGGCAUCACAUUUGCCACAAAGCUGAAAGAUAUAUGAGUAAUUUCUCAGCUUUCCUUUUGCAAACGAUACCAUCUGUCUCUUUUUCCCCAGCUCCCCCCACCAAGGGGGGGGAAGAAAAAAACCUCUGAUUGAAUUGAAAAAAGGAGAGAGAGAGAGAGCAUUUUAACUCCAUAAAUG